Molecule: unclassified non-coding RNA, 153 nt
Filed under: uncultured Tubeufiaceae
Lineage: Eukaryota; Fungi; Ascomycota; Dothideomycetes; Tubeufiales; Tubeufiaceae
Description: sequence contains ITS2
Source: RNAcentral
CAAACCCUCAAGCUUCUGCUUGGUGUUGGGCUCUCGUCCGUCAAAGGACGUGCCCGAAACUCGUAGGCGGUGGCGCCCAGCUCCUUUGCGUAGUUAUACAUUCCGCUCUGGAGGGUUGGGUACUGCUCGCCUUGCAAUUAUUUAUUUUCUAUG